RNAcentral lists this ribosomal RNA (450 nucleotides) under uncultured bacterium. RNAcentral's name for it is "bacterial SSU rRNA". It matches the Rfam family "Bacterial small subunit ribosomal RNA", at positions 29 to 524 of the family's 1533-position model. The record is from RNAcentral.
AACGAACGCUGGCGGCGUGCCUAACACAUGCAAGUCGAACGAGACCUUCGGGUCUAGUGGCGCACGGGUGCGUAACGCGUGGGAACCUGCCUUUAGGUUCGGAAUAAACUCAGAGAAAUUUGAGCUAAUACCGGAUAAUGUCUUCGGACCAAAAGAUUUAUCGCCUUUAGAUGGGCCCGCGUAAGAUUAGCUAGUUGGUGGGGUAAAGGCCUACCAAGGCGACGAUCUUUAGCUGGUCUGAGAGGAUGAUCAGCCACACUGGGACUGAGACACGGCCCAGACUCCUACGGAGGCAGCAGUGGGGAAUAUUGGACAAUGGCGAAAGCCUGAUCCAGCAAUGCCGCGUGAGUGAUGAAGGCCUUAGGGUUGUAAAGCUCUUUUACCCGAGAUGAUAAUGACAGUAUCGGGAGAAUAAGCUCCGGCUAACUCCGUGCCAGCAGCCGCGGUAAU